AGGUAGGAUUAAAGAGGCUGAGGAGUUCGCGUCAAAAAUUGUGGAAAUGGGAAAAUUGCAAGAUCAAACAUUACCAUUGAAAAAAGGGCAACAAAUGAGGGCCAGUGAGACUCCUGAAGAAUCUGAUCCUAAUUCCAUUACCUUUUCAGAAAAGAUUAAUGAGUUGUGUACUCAAGGGAAAUACAAGGAUGCAAUGCAAACUUUUCAAGAAUCGACACAGAAGGGCAUUACUUUACAUAAAUCUACCUAUAUUAAGUUGAUGGAGGGACUUAUUAAGAGGAGAAAAAGCAUAUCAAAGACUACCGUAUUGUAGUGAAAAUUUCUUUGGCUGUCCUUGCCAGUGCUUUGGUUGAGAUGGCUCAUCAGUCAUCAUUACCUUUUAACAUCUAUUUAUCAGGAUUUGAACCUAAAAAGAAGUUGAGGCAACUAUGCAUAGGUUAAAUGUGCUGAUUUCAAUGGAAUGGGAGUUGAUUUCAAACUUUCUUUACAUGAGAGCAAUCUUCUACAAUUCAAAAACAAGAUGGCGUUAGGAAAAUCUACAGGAUGU
Molecule: unclassified non-coding RNA, 547 nt
Filed under: Hevea brasiliensis (rubber tree)
Lineage: Eukaryota; Viridiplantae; Streptophyta; Magnoliopsida; Malpighiales; Euphorbiaceae
Source: RNAcentral